AGAACGAACGCUGGCGGCAUGCCUAACACAUGCAAGUCGAACGCUCUUGGGGCUUCGGUUCCAAGGGAGUGGCGCACGGGUGAGUAGCGCGUGGGAACCUGCCCUGGAGUGGGGGAUAACCGAUGGAAACGUCGGCUAAUACCGCAUACGUCCUGAGGGAGAAAGAUUUAUCGC
This 174-nucleotide ribosomal RNA is filed under the name uncultured bacterium. RNAcentral's name for it is "partial small subunit ribosomal RNA". It matches the Rfam family "Bacterial small subunit ribosomal RNA", at positions 26 to 218 of the family's 1533-position model. The record is from RNAcentral.